This is a long non-coding RNA of Thalassophryne amazonica, 104 nucleotides long. RefSeq lists it as uncharacterized. The record is from RefSeq and is a predicted model, not a curated record. The transcript has 4 exons. Lineage: Eukaryota; Metazoa; Chordata; Actinopteri; Batrachoidiformes; Batrachoididae.
AUCGAACACUGACAAACACAAGAGUGCUCUGACAGGACAAUAUCCCCCGCUGGCAAAUGGUGCUUUGGUUCAAGUGUUUGCUACAUUCUGAUAACAUUUCAAGG